GCACGCACACACACACACACACACACACACACACACACACCGCAGCUCUACUCCCCCUCCUACUAUAGUUCUCAAGCACUCCAGUUGUCUCUAGCAGUAAACGCAUGCAUAGAAGAGCUCGGCUAGUCGACUGCUUCAGUAGAUACUUUAAAAAAAAUCUUCAACGCAACGAUGCUGAUCUGGGAUGUGCACGUAGAUCGUACAGCGUCGGAGGAACCGCGGUGACUGGGCGAUCCAGUGGCUCCCUUCCCAGCACGUUCUCUGUGAGGGGGGAGCAAAAGGAAAAUGUUUCACAGGGGAGCGGUUUGGUGGUUGGAAGUGGGGGAAGGGAGGCAAUUUCACCGUGUUAAAUUCCACCGGAAAAAGCUCGGAUACUCGACAUAUCAAUGUAAAUUGGGACAUAGGGAUUAUUUAAUAAGAUCCUCCAACAAUUUCACAAGGAAAGUGGAGAAAACAGUAGGUAAGAAAUCCUGCAGCACUCUGGGAGGCUAUGUAACAGCUGGAGGCGAAAAAACGCGUGACACAGUCUUUUUUCUUUCUUUUUUUCUGGCAAUGCCUCAUCGCGCGGGGCGCGAUUUUCAAACCAUCUUUUGCAUAAAUCCAAUAUUUAUAGGCUACCGUGCAUUGUUUUUACAGGUUAGCGUGGAUUUAAGACACAAAGGUUUCAGCGAAAAUAAUAGGGGCGUGUUCUCUCUUAAAGGAUACUGUUCGUUUUUAAAUAGAAAAGAAACACUUUCAUACUAUUAAUGUGACUUAUACAAUCCAAACAAAGAGGUAUUUUUACUAGACGUUACUCAAAAACAAUAUACAAAGAUAUAUAUAUAUAUAUAUAUAUAUAUAUAGAGAGAGAGAGAGAGAGAGAAGAUAAAAGGCAGGCACAAAAGAAACGGUAUUUUCUAUCAUUUUAAUCGGUGCCUGUCUUGCAUGCAAUUAACCGGAUUUUUCAGGAACGCCUGUAUAAUUUUCUUGUAGCCAAUUGAAACAAACACACACUGACUGAAUACAGAACCUAGACUACGUCACCUGUAAAAUCUACCAAAUAAAAUAGUUAUAUUUAUUAUCAAUUUUAUACCUCAGUGUCAUGCAGAGCUUCUGUGCUUACGACAACAAACCAUUGCUUAUCCUAUGUCAAAGGUGAGAAUGUAUUUCAUGAAAGGUAAAGGAAUUUCGCUUUUUGCAGCUAGGUCUAGUUCUGUCCAAGUGAAUAAAAGUAUUUUGCCGAAAUGAUGAAAUAUUAAUGCAUAAAUAAUAAACAUUUCUAUUCUAUUUUUCAUGUUCACUGUCUCAGAGGGGUUCAUUUACUUUGCAUGCUAUUGGAAGUUAUUUAUUGAUCUGUUCAUUUUAUCUUUUUACUUGUAACGUGAACGUUUUAAAAUCCGCGAUUUUCAAUAGACAUUGUUUUUCUGGUCAGGAGUCAGCAUAUCGGCAAAGUUUUUUCCUCUAUACAAAUGUUUUCUGUGCAGUCCUUCAGUCCGCCUUUUAAGUUAAAAAUUAAUUAAUUAAUUUAUUUAUUGGGGGGGGAGUGAGUUUGCCUGGUUUUAAACUGUUCUCUUUCCUAUAUUGCUUGCAAUAAUUUCUUACACUAUUACCUCGUUUUAAAAAACCUGGAUCUUUGGUUUGUGGUCAGAAAAAAGUUGUAGCUAUCUGAGGCAAAUGCACAGACAGAGACCAACAUAUUCUUAUUUAGGCCUACCUAUUACAUUGAAAACUCUAGCAGCCAAUCACAAUCACUGCGUAUGUACAUUUUGACGUUAGGAACAAAUGCUGUUUACCCCUUUUCCCGAACACUGUGGACUUCAAUUUAUGAAUGUAGGUUUUUAUUUUAUUUUUUUUGUACAGCCGAUGUGCUCUGGGCGUAUCCUAUUAAAUGCAUUUGUCUGAAAUGUAAAUGAUGAAAAAAAAGAAAACUUUUCUAAAUUUGUUGCUACAACCAAAAGGAACAUUCUGGAAAUUUGUAGAUAAUUUCGUUUAUAUUAAGUCUAUUUAUUUGACCUUUUGUUAUUAAAAGCAAGUACAAACACUCAUGGCGUAAAGACGGUCUGCUGGAGGUCUAGACCUGUAAUGAGCUUCACGGAGAAAAGCUGUAUUUCCAUCGACCUAAAACAUUUUCAUAUCUAGGCCUAGGUGAAGGUUUUAGACGAUUUAGUUUCCCUGGCGUUAACGACAGUAGGCUACACUCCUAACUUCAAACAAAGUAGGCCUACCAAUCGAUUAGAGGCCUAUAUAUAUGCCUGCCGCCUGCAUAUGUGUAAGGUCUACAUACAACAAAACCACACAUUAUAUUUCUUGAAUUGUCAUUUAAUUCUGGAUAUGUUUCCUUUAUAAUACAUAAUAAAUAACUGUCGCGAACUAUUUUCCAAUAAAUAAUUUUACGAUUUAGCUACUUGUUUGUAGCGAAAACGUUCCUGAUGUGGUCAAUUUUGAGAGAAAAAACGGAUCGGGAAUUUAAGCAAUUGAAUAGGUCAUGGGCCAAGAUCUUUUAGGGUAGUCAAUGCGAACUGUCACACGACGUGACAUGCACAACCCGACGUUGAAAUACCACGUUUAAGAGUAAGAGUUGAGUAUUCCCGUAUGUACAAAUUAAAGGAAAUAGGUCAGGCAAGCCCAAAAAAAAAAAAAAAAAAACAACGCUCACACGCACAAUAGUAGGCUAAUACGCUGAACACCACUCCAGUCUAUUUAAGAUAUUUUAGAUUAUUUGACAAUACUGAUUAAACAAUUACUACUAAAUAAAAAUUGUAAUAUGGUAAACACACUAACACGCGUUAAAUGCAAACAGAUUUUCUUAUUUAUUUGGGAUGUUACAAUAUCCGACCGGUGAUACAUGGCAUCGUAAUAUCCAUUUUGUCCGAUAUUUAAUCAUUUUCGAUCAGCAUACAGACGACCAUUCAAGUCCGACAUGUUGGAACAGACUAUGUAAAUUUCCAUACCACCACCCAUGCCCACAACAAUAUUAUUACCAAAGUAUUAUGCUAUUAUAUAUGUGAAUUAAGCUUCUACUAAUAGGGCCUAGUUAGGAGAAAUACCCACGAAGUUAACAGACAUUGUUUGGGGGAAGGGAACAACUGGUACAAUUCCAACAGUAGAAAUUUCGCCCGGAAUAGGUAACUAGCCUAGAUUGCCCACAGAACGAAUCGCAUGUCGCUGCUCUCGAUUUCAUUUGCCAAACUCGCUGAUUUAAAGCGCACGGGGAGUGAUCUAGAUACAACAGCAGAAGUAUGUGUGUCUAACCUCUGUCCACGCCAUCGCACCACUCAGAAGCGCCAUGUUUCAAGAAAAUGUCGUUUAAUGUUUUACGCUGUUCAAAUGACAUCAUUGUCCCACCGCAAUUGCCUUAUUUAUGCAGUUUCAGCAUGCAAAUGGACCCGUAAUACAGCCAGAUUUUAUGGCAAAGGGUUGCUUGAAAUUUGAAGUCCAGGUAGUGACUGUAGUGCGUUUUCACUUCAGUUUUGCCACUAAUACAAGGCCUACGCCUCGAUUUUCAAACGUGGUAAAUGUAUCUACUCUUUUAUCUUGAUCUACACGCACAUGCUAAAUCCUGAUUUAGGCCAAUCGAGAUGACAAUUGAUUUAUAGGUUCCUUAACAAUCAAAUUAGUAGCCUGUUAUUCAGAUAGUAAACUAAGAUGUCAUUCAGAGAAAAAAACAGGAUCCAGUGUACUUAAAAAAAUAAUGAUUAAAAAUUUUAAUGUACUAAACAUGGAAAGAAAUGGAUAAAACGGCUUAAAACGUCAAACGCCCCCACCGUUUUAAAUGUUUUUGAUUAAUUAAUUUUUUACUGGGGACUGUCGUUGAAACUGGGGGUAAAACGCAAUAAAUUAACAUUUGUAAAUACCAGUUCUGUAGCUACUGGGUUUUGUUCUCUUCAUUUCUUGCUGCGGUUUCCGUACCAGAAGAGCUUCAAUAUUUCACUUCUUCGGUUACAACCAACCUGUUUGCAAUCACAAUUUGACAGGAGAACGGCCUUACUUUCUUCCCUUGUUUUGUUUUAACAGUGAGCGAAAAAUAACUUGUAUUGCAAUUGUAAAAACUCAACCAAUUCGCUUUAGUAACUUUAAUGUCUACACUUAAGUGUGCCGCUGCUUUUCAUUUCACACCUUUCCACUACAUGUUUUGAGUCGUUUCUGCGUAACAGUAGUGUUCUGCACAAUUGUGUCUCCAUUUUCCUCUUGUGAAAAUCUGACUGAAAAUGUGCACUCAGAAGUGGGCUGUCAUCGCUAGCCAGUUUUCACCUUUUUUAUACCAUUCUGUCAAGCGAGGUUUUAUUAAUAACAGUGAUUCAACUGGCAGGCCAGUUGUUUAGCUUCAUCUCCCUGACUAGCUUAUAACUUGGCUGACGUGCGGCCGACUGUGCCUUUGCUAGUUUUCAACACUGUCGGAUAAGGAUGUCCUCAGUAACUACGGGAUUCGGCACUCACUCAGUGCCCUGUCAGGAGAACCCACAAGAGAACCGAUCGUGUGGAAUCGUUUAACGACUUUCGGUCGAAAAUCAGGUACUGUUAUACUCUCCUUCCUGUGAUUGGAGAAGAGAGACGGUAAAAACAGAGAGAAGCGCGAGGAGGAGUUUGACAAACACAAAGACACCAGGAGACAUCCUGGGAGACUGUGAAACAGAGGGAAAGAAAUAGAGUUGACCUGCACUCUGUGUUCAUAAAGAAGCUUUUGUGCAGGCCAUUGAUUUUAUUUAUUUUUUUCCAGGUGGCCAGCUAAAGAAUUUCCAUGGGUUCCAAUUUCACUUGGUUAUCAUUUCCCCCCGCCCCCCACCAGGGAAAAUGAAAACUCAUUAAUUGGGAAAUUCAUAGUCUCCUUGGCGACCUUUGACCUUUGACCCAGGAAGCUGGAGCUGUGGCGUACUGUCAUAUCGGGACUCCUUUGAGAUGUCUUACAGGACACCCCAAGUGUAACAUAAGAGUACAUGCAUUCACUGUAAUGUAUCCCAUGAUCAAAGGACACACAGUAGCUAAAGGCAGCAGAGGGAAAUGGAGGUAGAACAGCACAUUCGCAUUUUCUCUUGCGGUACGCAGCCAGUUCAGCCUUGGGUGGGGGGGGGGGGGGUUUGUAGACCACUGUCAUGACUAACAGGUAGCUCCAGGGGGUCUGGAGGAAAAAGCAAAAUUGUUUUUAAAUAUCGCGGUACAUGCGAAUCGGAAGCAAGCGUUGGGUGUUCAAAUAAACAGAUCCUUUCUCGUUCCUCUCUGUCCUCUGCUGGAUAAGGACUAAUCUGAUCAUACUGUAAUCCUCGUCAUUUGCAUCAUGUGCCUACAUCAGCAGUAGGAUAGCUAACACAUUAUAAUUAGGAGAUGGUUCUGACACCAUUUUAAAUGAAUCAUUCAUUGAGAGCUGUUUUUCUUAGCCAGGUAGUGGUACGAGCAUCAUGGGUGAGUGUGUGCUGUAGCAGAUAAGGGAUUGGGCAUAUAACUCUGAGGCUGCCAGCUCAAAUCCCAAGCAGGGCACUGCAGUUGUACCCUUGAGCAAAUAACUUAACCUGGAAUGCUUCAGAAUACACAGGUGAUAAAAAUGUAAGCCAGAAAAAAAUCUGAUUUAAAAAAAAAAAAAAAAAAGCUAACCAGAAAUGUAAGCCAAUAGCACUGGACAAGGACAGUGCAUAAUGUCAUUUUGUAGUCAGCUAGCAGGAAGAACAGCAGACAUGUAGGCAUAUCGCUGUGUGAUCACAACUUCACUGUGAAAUCUUAAACUUGGUCCACUUGAGGAGGAAAGGAUUUGGUGUUGUCUAGCUAGGUUUACCUUAAAAACCCAUAUAGACAGUUAUACACGUGACCAUGUUGCUAAUAGUUACAAAAAUGAUAUGAAGCCUUCCUUCGUAAAUCAAUCAAUCAUGAUUUAGUGAUCAGACAGAGAAUAGAAGGGCAUAAGGAAAGGGUCAGAUUUUCAUUGCUUUCUUUGCAAUAAGCUUGUUGUUUUCUGGCGUCUAAUUUACAUUAGUUUCCAUUUAGGAAAAAGAAAAGCUUUAAUUUUUUUUGAGAAAACUUAUUCCAGGAUUUAUUUUGUUCUUGACUGAAUGAUUUCACAGGGCUGUUAUUUGUACUAAAAGAAAAAAAAAACAAAAAAAAAACAUCUGGACCCCCAAGGGUUCAUCAAAUUAAUGACCAAAUUUGCUUCCUUUCCAAAGUGAAAAAUACAUUUGGUUAACGAGCUGAAAUCACAGAGACGUCACGUACAGCCCUCUGCACCGCACAGUGGGUUCAUCUGGAACAUUCGAAUGCUAAACGUUCACCUCUGAGCCUAAUUUCAGCACUGCAGAUUUGUAGAACAAACCUACAUUUAUGUUUGCAUUUUAGCCAGCCAUAUAAACGCCCCGUGCUGAGAGGCUAAUGAUUACAUUAGAAGUCGGAAAUGAAGAAUUUUAUAGUUGUUCCUUUUUUUUCCCUUUCGACGAGCACAAGCCCCGCCUCUGUGGAGCGUGUAGUGAGCGUGUCCCUUUAAGCCGCCGCCGCGUUCGGUUCCUCAGAAGGACCGAGCCGCCCGAGUCGCCGGGGCGAUGGCAAGCGGGUCUUUCGCCGCGUGGCGUGCCGACUGCUCUUCUCGCUGGCGAGACCGGGCCACGUGUUGCACCGAAACGGUUACACUGCGCGGUCUGACGGGCGCAGUGAGGUGCUGCCUGCCACUGCCAGAGUGCAUUACUGCGAGUACUACUUCUGUCCCUGUUAGCAAAUCUAUGGACUGUUGAAACUAGGUAAGAUCCAGACAACACACACACACACACACACACACACACACA
Molecule: long non-coding RNA, 6737 nt
Organism: Anguilla rostrata (American eel)
Lineage: Eukaryota; Metazoa; Chordata; Actinopteri; Anguilliformes; Anguillidae
Exons: 3
Source: RefSeq, a predicted model, not a curated record